RNAcentral lists this ribosomal RNA (465 nucleotides) under uncultured bacterium. RNAcentral describes it as "partial 16S ribosomal RNA". It matches the Rfam family "Bacterial small subunit ribosomal RNA", at positions 338 to 795 of the family's 1533-position model. The record is from RNAcentral.
CCUACGGGUGGCAGCAGUAGGGAAUCUUCCACAAUGGGCGCAAGCCUGAUGGAGCAACACCGCGUGAGUGAAGAAGGGUUUCGGCUCGUAAAGCUCUGUUGUUGGAGAAGAACGUGCGUGAGAGUAACUGUUCACGCAGUGACGGUAUCCAACCAGAAAGUCACGGCUAACUACGUGCCAGCAGCCGCGGGAAUACGUAGGUGGCAUGCGUUAUCCGGAUUUAUUGGACGUAAAGCGAGUGAAGGCGGUUGCAUAGGUCUAAUGUGAAAGCCUUGGGCUUAACCGAAGAAGUGCAUCGGAAACCGGGCAACUUGAGUGCAGAAGAGGAGAGUGGAACUCCAUGUGUAGCGGUGGAAUGCGUAGAUAUAUGGAAGAACACCAGUGGCGAAGGCGGCUGUCUGGUCUGCAACUGACGCUGAGGCUCGAAAGCAUGGGUAGCGAACAGGAUUAGAUACCCGAGUAGUC